This 265-nucleotide unclassified non-coding RNA is filed under the name Hevea brasiliensis (rubber tree). The record is from RNAcentral. Lineage: Eukaryota; Viridiplantae; Streptophyta; Magnoliopsida; Malpighiales; Euphorbiaceae.
GUCACAGAAAUGUGUAGCGUGAGAGAAAAAUAAUAUCAUUGUAUAACAAAAUUUGGGUGCUGUGCCUGAUUAAUUACAUGGUUCGUUUCAGGUCGAUCCUGUGUGACACAAAUAUAUAUAUAAGAUAUAUAGUGUGAGUCUAUAUAGAAUGAGUAGUAGUCUGAAGCAUGUAACGUAGGUGGUUUCGAUUGGUUCAAAAUUAUUUUUACAGAAAGAAAUGAAGGGUCGACUUUGAUCCUGAGAUUUGUAUGUCAUACAUCUGAAU